This 429-nucleotide ribosomal RNA is filed under the name bacterium. Its description in RNAcentral is "partial 16S ribosomal RNA". It matches the Rfam family "Bacterial small subunit ribosomal RNA", at positions 355 to 776 of the family's 1533-position model. The record is from RNAcentral.
UAGGGAAUCUUCGGCAAUGGGGGCAACCCUGACCGAGCAACGCCGCGUGAGUGAAGAAGGUUUUCGGAUCGUAAAGCUCUGUUGUAAGAGAAGAACGUGUGUGAGAGUGGAAAGUUCACACAGUGACGGUAACUUACCAGAAAGGGACGGCUAACUACGUGCCAGCAGCCGCGGUAAUACGUAGGUCCCGAGCGUUGUCCGGAUUUAUUGGGCGUAAAGCGAGCGCAGGCGGAUUAAUAAGUCUGAAGUUAAAGGCAGUGGCUUAACCAUUGUUCGCUUUGGAAACUGUUAAACUUGAGUGCAGAAGGGGAGAGUGGAAUUCCAUGUGUAGCGGUGAAAUGCGUAGAUAUAUGGAGGAACACCGGUGGCGAAAGCGGCUCUCUGGUCUGUAACUGACGCUGAGGCUCGAAAGCGUGGGGAGCAAACAGG